Molecule: long non-coding RNA, 562 nt
Organism: Chinchilla lanigera (long-tailed chinchilla)
Lineage: Eukaryota; Metazoa; Chordata; Mammalia; Rodentia; Chinchillidae
Exons: 4
Source: RefSeq, a predicted model, not a curated record
AGGCAGCUGCAACAUAAAGGAUGUCUCAGGAAACAGGAUAAUCUGUUUGUGUGGCCACGAGUCUGUGAUCCCUGACCUGUCUUAAUCCUCAGCAGUAGAAACCACAGACUUGGCAGCUGAAACCACGGAAAUUUAUCUCUCACAGUUAUGGAUUCUGGAAGGCCAAGACCAAAGUUCCAGCAAGGUGAUGCUUUGUUUGGAUGAUCGCAGUAAGCCAAUAUGCUGGCCUUCAUAAAAAGUUGCGCUGAAGUAUAUCUAAUAUUAAUAGAAAGCAGUAAGUGAAGCCAUGGUAGGGGUGGAAGAGAAAGCCAAGGACCACAGGGUUAGGGAUAUUGGUGAGAAAGUCCUGCACUCAAAAGACAAUCUGAAGGACAGGUGCACUUGUGGAUCAGGAAUACCGGAAAGGAAGUGCUAAAAGAGAGAAAAUUACCCAUUCAUCGAGUCACUGCAAAUUUCUUCAGAGCCUGGGUAUGUGUCCUGAGCAGCUAAGGUAAAGCAGACUGGAUAGCAUGAAUCUCAUUAAACUUGUUAGAAACAAGGACAUUCCUGAGUACUUCAUUCA